RNAcentral lists this unclassified non-coding RNA (223 nucleotides) under plant metagenome. RNAcentral describes it as "partial contains small subunit ribosomal RNA and internal transcribed spacer 1". The stretch from base 1 to 46 matches the Rfam family "Eukaryotic small subunit ribosomal RNA", at positions 1786 to 1831 of the family's 1831-position model. The record is from RNAcentral.
AAGUCGUAACAAGGUUUCCGUAGGUGAACCUGCGGGAGGAUCAUUACAGAGGUUUAUCCUUAUUUUGUGAAUUUUACAUCUGGUGUGUAUGUUUUUGUAUGAGCGAGUGCGGAGCACGAGUUGAUAUCAAUUGUGAAAGCAAUGAGUCGAACCAUUCAUUCAAACACUAUACAUAUGCACCAAACUUUACACCAUAUAUUGUCUGAAGAAAAGAGAUGAAAAA